Anas platyrhynchos (mallard) is the source of this 1441-nucleotide non-coding RNA. The record is from RefSeq and is a predicted model, not a curated record. Lineage: Eukaryota; Metazoa; Chordata; Aves; Anseriformes; Anatidae.
UUAUAUGCCCCUGAGAGUCUUUCUGGUACCAAAAAUUUGAUGUAAUGUAAGGAUCCUUUUCCAUUAAAGAAAAAGUUUAUAAGAUAGUCUUUUCAGACUUUUGAUUUGGGGGUUACCCAUAAUAAAUGUCUAAGCAGAUUAUUAUGAAGAGAAACAACUACAGGUGCAUGCAAAAAUUAGUGCAGUGUUUGUCAGAAAAUAUGAAUGCUCUAGGAUUUUCUAGCAGUCACAUUCAUCAAAGCCCUUUGUCUAUGAUAACAUCGGUUCUAUGUCUAAUUCCUCCCACUGGAAGUACAUUUAGUAGCUGUUUUUCAUGUUCUGUGAAAACUCUUGAAAAUGAAAUGGGUUUCCUGCAGGGCAUUCAUUACAAUGAUGUAAAUCCAGAACAAUUAAUCUGAAGUUGAUGAUGUUACUUCAUAUUUACAUAUCUGUAAUGGAGAAUACAAUCUGGCUCCAUAUGCAUAUGAAACCCCAGUUAAUGUAUAACUGGCAUGGAAAACAAUAAUUUUUAAUGUGACCUUUUAUAAAUUUUCUCAGAUUUUUUUUUAAAGGAAAAAGUGCACUGUGGUCAAGUAGCAGACAGUGGUGCUGUUGAUUCCAGAUUGCAUGUGUAUUACUCAUAGAUCCAGCUGUCUGUCUUCAUUUUCACUCACCUUUGGAGCCACUGGUCCCUCAUACUGAAACAGCAGCAGUUGUACCUGGAGGGGAUACAGGACUUUGUCCAACUUAUUUUUAAUGGCUGGACAUCCGUUCAGACAAGCGAGAAAGCUCUCAAGAGCAGCAACAAUCAAUGAGGUAAGGUGUAUGAAAUUACUAUUUUCUUCCCCGUGUACAGCCAAGCAUUUUUUAUAAUUCAGCAGCCUGGGAACCCAUGUCUGUACCUUUCAGGAAAAUUCCUGUUGACUUGGGUUUGUUCCUGACAGAUACCUUCAGGGCUGGGCCUUGUUACAAUUAAUAAUAUCUUCAGUGCCUAACUCUUGCUUUUGUGUGUCUUUUCUCUUUUCUUAGGAAGGAAAUUGAAUUUGUGUUCAAGUCCUACCGGGUCAAAUGGUUCACAGCAGCUUUUUCUUCUGUUAUCACAGCUCCUCUACCAACUAGAAAAAGACUGGGAGCAAAUCUUGGUCUUGGAAGAUUAAAUACUCUUUGAUGAUAACAGAGGUUGAAGAACUGAUCCUCAAAGCUGAUUUGUGAUGAAUGGCUUGAUAAUUGGCUACUUCCUACACACUGCAUUUCUCCAAAACUAUUCUGUUAUUUAAGAAGUUGAUAAUCUCCAAACUAUUCCUAUUUUUUUCUUAUGAUACUGAAUUCUUUUCUAUAAACCAAGUCAGCGCUGAGGAAAGAAGUCAAGAUUUUAUUUUCCUUUUUUUUUUUUUUUUCUUUAAUGACUUUUAUACCAGCAUGUUGCUGAGGUUUUAAAAUAAAUAUAUUUGUUAUUAGCACU